This 585-nucleotide ribosomal RNA is filed under the name uncultured bacterium. Its description in RNAcentral is "bacterial SSU rRNA". It matches the Rfam family "Bacterial small subunit ribosomal RNA", at positions 916 to 1500 of the family's 1533-position model. The record is from RNAcentral.
GGGACCCGCACAAGCGGUGGAGCAUGUGGUUUAAUUCGAAGCAACGCGAAGAACCUUACCAAGUCUUGACAUCCUCCUGACAGCGUAUGUAAUGUAUGUUUCCUUCGGGACAGGAGAGACAGGUGGUGCAUGGUUGUCGUCAGCUCGUGUCGUGAGAUGUUGGGUUAAGUCCCGCAACGAGCGCAACCCUUGUCCUUAGUAGCCAGCACGUGAUGGUGGGCACUCUAGGGAGACUGCCAGGGUGAACCUGGAGGAAGGUGGGGAUGACGUCAAAUCAUCAUGCCCCUUAUGACUUGGGCUACACACGUGCUACAAUGGCGCGAACAAAGGGAAGCGACCCUGUGAAGGCGAGCAAAUCUCAAAAAAGGCGUCUCAGUUCGGAUUGUAGUCUGCAACCCGACUACAUGAAGCUGGAAUCGCUAGUAAUCGCGAAUCAGAAUGUCGCGGUGAAUACGUUCCCGGGUCUUGUACACACCGCCCGUCACACCAUGGGAGUUGGGAAUGCCCGAAGUCAGUGACCCAACCGUAAGGAGGGAGCUGCCGAAGGCAGGCUCGAUGACUGGGGUGAAGUCGUAACAAGGUAGC